GCAUUUCCUUCUCUGAAGACUCAGGUGUGGAAUGAGCGGGGCUGUGGGUGCAGCGUGGGCGAGACUCCUCUCAGCCUCCCUGGGCCUGAUCAAGGUCACCGACCCCCAGCUGUAGUCCCCAAGACUGGCUCCUGAUGGCUUUUGUGCCCCGCUCAGCAAAAGCCCAGCUGGGAUCCUCUUGGUGGCCCAGACAGAGGUGACCACAUAGUAUAUCGUCUUUCAAGGCUGGGAGGGAACUCUGUUAGUAAUUACUCCUGGGGCAUACCAGGGCUGUGGCAGGAAACGGAGUAUGUCACCGACAGAGACGCAGAUUCCCUGGCAGGAUGCAUGCCGGCCGGCACAUGCCUCGGAGCGCGAGAGGGGCCUGUGAUCGUGCGGUGCUUACGUGCUUCACGCGUGUGUGCGGAAGCACGGGUGAGCCCGUGGGGAGCAUGGCGCGCUGC
This 443-nucleotide long non-coding RNA is filed under the name Homo sapiens (human). RNAcentral's name for it is "non-protein coding lnc-GRIFIN-4:6". Lineage: Eukaryota; Metazoa; Chordata; Mammalia; Primates; Hominidae. The record is from RNAcentral.